This is a long non-coding RNA of Rosa chinensis, 1019 nucleotides long. RefSeq lists it as uncharacterized. The transcript has 2 exons. The record is from RefSeq and is a predicted model, not a curated record. NCBI's taxonomy places the organism in Eukaryota, Viridiplantae, Streptophyta, Magnoliopsida, Rosales, Rosaceae.
CAGGGCGAUAGCCCAGGGCCCAAAUUUUGUGGCAGUAGAUAGGGGGCCUAAAUUUGAUGGCAGUAGACCGGAAAAAAAAAAAAGUAGUCUUUCUGUUAGGAACAUGAGAAAAGGAAAAGCAAGAGUGCAAUUUUUAAUUAUAUUUUGCAUUGAUGGAAUGAUGGGCAAUUGUUUAAUCUAAGCACUAAGCAGCAAAAGUGAAGGGAAUGUCUCUUGGGCAGUUCACUUGUGGCAGCAUAUAGGGGCUGCUGCAAGCGUGCAAUUAAACAAAACAGCAUGAGCAAAAAAGAAGGAAGACACUCAAGACAGCAUUGGAUUUUCUCUUCGGCAGAUUCCUUAUUUAUUUCCUUUCUUCAUCUUCAUUCUUCAAAUUCCUUUCUUCUUCCUUGCUGCAGCCUGCAAGUCUGCAACUUGCCAACUUGAUGCAUAAAAACGAAUUUCCAACUGCAAUUUGUGAGAGCAGUAAAGGCAAGUUGCCAGGAGUCCUACAAAUCACUCAAGGAGGGAGGCGUUGACAGCAAAUUAGAUUUCUCAUAUCCAGGUUCUAUACUUCUAUUGUUCGAUUGAUAUUUUUCCUUUUGUUUUUUAUAAAUGUUUCCUAAGAAAUAUGUUUCUGGUAGUGAAAAAAGAAAAAGAAAAAAACAGCAAGAAGAUUUUAUAAGCUCCCAAAGAGGUUCUUUAGAUAAAUUUUUUAACAAAAGAUGUGUUUCUUCGGAAAAUCAAGGUGAAAAUGAGGUAACCCAAGGAGUUCAACAUAUAGAUGAGAACGAAAAUGAGGUAACUGAUAUAGGUGAACAUGAAAAUGAACAAACAGAAAAUAUGGAAGAGACAAAUGUGCUUGAAAGUGAGAAUAUAGGUGAACAUGAAAAUGAUCAAACAGAAAAUAUGGAAGAAACAAAUGUGCUUGAAAGUGAGAAUAUUGAAAUAAAUCGUGUGAGUGAACCUUUAGAAGGUACAAUACCUUUGAAUAUAUAUGAUCCUAGAGUUUGGGAAAGUUUAGAUGGAAAAAUGAGAGAUAU